Molecule: ribosomal RNA, 207 nt
Filed under: uncultured bacterium
Lineage: Bacteria
Description: partial 16S ribosomal RNA
Rfam family: Bacterial small subunit ribosomal RNA
Source: RNAcentral
CGCGUAGGCGGACUUUCAAGUCAGGUGUGAAAUCUAUGGGCUUAACUCAUAGCUUGCAUUUGAUACUGUUGGUCUUGAGUACAGGAGAGGAAAGCGGAAUUCCAGGUGUAGCGGUGAAAUGCGUAGAUAUCUGGAAGAACACCAGUAGCGAAGGCGGCUUUCUGGACUGAUACUGACGCUAAAGCGCGAAGGCUUGGGUAGCAAACA